CGCGCGGCUAUACUAUUAAAAUA
RNAcentral lists this microRNA (23 nucleotides) under Prunus persica (peach). RNAcentral describes it as "microRNA miRNA_135". The record is from RNAcentral. Lineage: Eukaryota; Viridiplantae; Streptophyta; Magnoliopsida; Rosales; Rosaceae.